UUCACUGUAUGCAGGUCGGGUCAAACCCAUCAUCUGACUCAUAAUCAUGAAGCCUGAUCACGCUAGAGCACACAUGGUAGCCAUCCCGAAUGACACAUGCCAAAGUACAUGGGCUUUCAAAAGUAAGAAGAAUUAUGAACGCAUGGAUGGCAGGAUUACUUUGCAAACAAACAUGCAUCCAAUCAUGAUCCAGCAUUUCCACUUCUCCGUGAUACAACCCAUGCAUCCCAGCUCAUUUUCUUAUCCAGCAUCUACAUCCAACUUCAUGUUAUCUUCCACAUCCAACAAACAUUCCUCUGUUUCGGGAUUAAUUCCAGCAGAAUGUCACUCUCCCUCCUAUGUCCAAAGAACUCAAAUGACUCCAUCACACUGCACCAUUUCACAAGCAAUCAGAGUCGACUCCACAUCAUUUGGAGUCGACUCCAAGAUCAACUGCAUCCCAUCAAAUUCUUCCCUUCUCCUUAUGUGUUCACUCAUUCCAACUCUUUUUCCACAUGAUCCUAUUUUAAUAAAAUCCCUUCAAGUAUUUGUUUCUCAUAUCUCAAAGUAUACCAUCUAGUUGCACGGAUCCCAAAGACUCAACCCAUCCUCAUCCUUGUUCCAUCUCUAAACACAACCCCGAACUCCUCUCCGUUAACAAAACCAACUAAACUUCCCAGCUCUCUUCCCUCUUCCGAACCAAGCAAUCAUCCGAGAUCUUCCCAACAUUAUCUCCCCUGUUCCACGUCAUUUCCAAAGAAUAGAACCGCUUCCACCUGUGAUGAAUCCCAGCCUUCAUCCCGUUACUAAUCAUCCUUAUCCCAUGGCCAGCCGCAUUCCCAAGCGUUAUGGAUUGAUUCCAUCCACCACGAAUGAGUUCCAAGCGUUAACGCUUCCAGCUCAACCUCAAAUCCCAACUUCAUGGCUUCCGAUUCUUCUUCCCAGACUUCACGGAAACAGAUUCUCCCAGCUCACAGAUCCUACGCUUAUCCUGUUCGGAUUGGUUCCAUCUUCACGGGAUAAACUCAAAUCCUAAAAUUCCCUGUUCCGCAUGAGAACCAGCAACCACCCUCUUCUCCCGCGAUGCAGAUCAAACUUCAACAGCAUCCUCCCCUGUUACGUGUAUCAACCGAUGCCUUCAUCACCCACGUCGCAUCCCCUGCUCCGCUAGAUCUUAGCCAAGAUAGAUGCAAAUCCAAGCUUCCCAGCAUCCGGAUUAACUUCAUCACCCACAGAUUCCUCCUCUUCCCCUGUUUCGGAACAGAGCUUCAGUAAUCCGCGAGGUGUCCAUGAGUCCCCUAGCCGCGAGCUUCUUCCACGUAGUCCAUCCCGUGGCCGCAGAUCAAGCAACUUCCCUGAACCAGACCUCAUCCUGAUACGAUCAAGUUCAGCCAUCCACAGAUAAAGUCUCGCUUCCAAUCUACUCCCACGUCCGGAUACUCCGCAAGCUUCUUCUAGAUUCUUCACGUUCGCGAAUAACAGCCAGCCACCAUCCGUGAUUCAAGGCUCCUUCCCUCCAUGUCUGCAGCCUCUCUCCCAUUUGCGAUCAGCCUCCAUCGACCACAGAUCAUCCCAAUCUUCUUCCGGAUAAGCUCCAGUCCCAGCAACCUCCUGCGUCUUUUCCGUGAUUCAUCGUCAUCUCCUCUCAACCGGGAAUGGAGAGAGAGGUGGGCAGCCUAUAAAAGGGGCCACGCAUGAAAUAGAGAAUUCAUUCCUCCUUCCCCACCGGGGGGGGGGGGCAAUCCCUUCUUCCUCACCGAAGGGAGUCGGCUGAUCAUCUUCUCAGAGGGCGGGGAGAAGCCAAGUUCC
Molecule: non-coding RNA, 1788 nt
Organism: Phoenix dactylifera (date palm)
Lineage: Eukaryota; Viridiplantae; Streptophyta; Magnoliopsida; Arecales; Arecaceae
Source: RefSeq, a predicted model, not a curated record